RNAcentral lists this ribosomal RNA (147 nucleotides) under Nematostella vectensis (starlet sea anemone). RNAcentral's name for it is "5.8S ribosomal RNA". It matches the Rfam family "5.8S ribosomal RNA". Rfam says of the family: 5.8S ribosomal RNA (5.8S rRNA) is a component of the large subunit of the eukaryotic ribosome. It is transcribed by RNA polymerase I as part of the 45S precursor that also contains 18S and 28S rRNA. Functionally, it is thought that 5.8S rRNA may be involved in ribosome translocation. Lineage: Eukaryota; Metazoa; Cnidaria; Anthozoa; Actiniaria; Edwardsiidae. The record is from Rfam by way of RNAcentral.
AACUUUUAACGUGGAUCUCUGGCUCGUGCAUCGAUAAGAACCCACCCAGGUGCAAAAGUAGUGGGAAUGCAGAAUUAGUGAUCAUCGAUCUUUGACGCAAUGGCGCUCUUGGGUUUUCGCAGGAGCAUGGUCUGUCCNUGAGUGUCG